AGAUUUUUCGCCCACACCAGAUGUCUAGACCCUGGUCAGAUAACAGAAAUACACAUUGCCACUAUCUGUAUUCAUCUUGUGACUUCUCCUUGGAAGAAGGAGAGAGGGACCCUAGGAGGGACGUAAAGGAGUUGAUGAAAUCCUGUUCAGACAAUCAGAUGGUAUGGCCUCUAAGGACCCCCAAGACCAACUGGAUGAGGCUAUUAAAAAGGCAGAACGCCUUGCUGAGGAGCUCAACCAAGAGAAGGACCCACAAGCCCAACUGGACGAGGCCAUUAACGAGUCAAAAAGGCUGGCUGAGGAGCUCAACCCAGAAAGGG
Long non-coding RNA from Salvelinus namaycush (lake trout), 320 nucleotides. RefSeq lists it as uncharacterized. The record is from RefSeq and is a predicted model, not a curated record. The transcript has 3 exons. Lineage: Eukaryota; Metazoa; Chordata; Actinopteri; Salmoniformes; Salmonidae.